UUGAGGGAAAACAGGUUCAGAAGUGGCUUAGCUACCCAGAAAUUCAACGUCUUCCACUGGUGCUUGCAGGCUGGGAGCUGGGAAUUGACAGCAGGAACCCAGAGGACUGCUCAUGGCAGUUCACCAUCUCCCAUCUUGCUGCUCUGUAGGACCAAAGAGGGACACCCGGAGGGACUGCACACUGUGCAGGACCAUCUUUUAUUCAUGGCCGAGCGGCGCAGACGCCGCUGCUUGCCGCCUUCUUGGGAUGCUGGCAUUAAUAUUUCAUCCUGGAGCCAGCUCGUGCUGAAGAGCUCAUGUCCCAGGAAACCCUUUUUUGGGGCCAGCUGCAAUGUUUCCUCUCAAGGGUUCCUUGGGAAGAUAACAGUGGAAAAGCCACGCUCUGACAUGGUGGGUCUGGAAUGAAAAGUGAAGGUGUUCCUCUGCAAGCAUCCAAGCAGUUUCAACUUAACCAAACAUGCUUCUCCUGAAUCACUGGGUCUUUAAAUCGAAAUACCUUCUCAAUAGAUGUAAUAAUGCUGGAGAAAAAGUGAUUGGAAAACAACUCUAUGUCCUCAGUGAUCCUUAUGGGUCCCUUCCAACUUGGGAUGUUCUGUGAUCUACAUGAGUUCCGUAGGAUGGAAGGGGAUGCUGAAUGUGGGAACGGAAGGAGGAACAGUUAUUUGCACAGCUCUUUGAGAUCCUUGAAGGAAAACCCUGGAGAGAUAUAAGGUAUUAUUACAAGGGCUGUAAGUUCUUUUCAGGCAGUUAAAGGGAUAAUAAAUUCAUUGCCCAGGAGAUUGGGUAGUUU
This is a long non-coding RNA of Gallus gallus (chicken), 790 nucleotides long. RefSeq lists it as uncharacterized. The transcript is spliced from 3 exons. The record is from RefSeq and is a predicted model, not a curated record. NCBI's taxonomy places the organism in Eukaryota, Metazoa, Chordata, Aves, Galliformes, Phasianidae.